GUGAAUCAUCGAAUCUUUGAACGCAAAUUGCGCUUCCUGGUAUCCCGGGAAGUAUGCCUGUUUGAGGGUCAGUAUUAACAAAAAAUCGGUUUGGUUGGAAAUUGUGACGUUUCCUGAGGGUGGGCUUAUCUUAACUUUUUGGUUUAAGGGGCUUAUGAUUGACCUUUUUUGCGCAUGUUUAGACGUACAUAAAUGUUGUUUUAUUCGUCUAUGCUUAAUGCCAAAAUCUGAUUAGAUGCUAUCAUAUCGUGUGGCGUUGUGGCCAGAAA
RNAcentral lists this unclassified non-coding RNA (269 nucleotides) under Glomeraceae sp. Its description in RNAcentral is "partial contains 5.8S ribosomal RNA and internal transcribed spacer 2". The stretch from base 1 to 71 matches the Rfam family "5.8S ribosomal RNA", at positions 84 to 154 of the family's 154-position model. The record is from RNAcentral. Lineage: Eukaryota; Fungi; Glomeromycota; Glomeromycetes; Glomerales; Glomeraceae.